UGGCUCAGAACGAACGCUGGCGGCAGGCUUAACACAUGCAAGUCGAGCGGGCAUAGCAAUAUGUCAGCGGCAGACGGGUGAGUAACGCGUGGGAACGUACCUUUUGGUUCGGAACAACUGAGGGAAACUUCAGCUAAUACCGGAUAAGCCCUUACGGGGAAAGAUUUAUCGCCGAAAGAUCGGCCCGCGUCUGAUUAGCUAGUUGGUGAGGUAAUGGCUCACCAAGGCGACGAUCAGUAGCUGGUCUGAGAGGAUGAUCAGCCACAUUGGGACUGAGACACGGCCCAAACUCCUACGGGAGGCAGCAGUGGGA
This 313-nucleotide ribosomal RNA is filed under the name Bradyrhizobium sp. DASA 35042. RNAcentral's name for it is "bacterial SSU rRNA". It matches the Rfam family "Bacterial small subunit ribosomal RNA", at positions 20 to 359 of the family's 1533-position model. The record is from RNAcentral. RNAcentral also lists the same sequence under 1 other name. Lineage: Bacteria; Pseudomonadati; Pseudomonadota; Alphaproteobacteria; Hyphomicrobiales; Nitrobacteraceae.